RNAcentral lists this ribosomal RNA (475 nucleotides) under uncultured bacterium. Its description in RNAcentral is "bacterial SSU rRNA". It matches the Rfam family "Bacterial small subunit ribosomal RNA", at positions 64 to 571 of the family's 1533-position model. The record is from RNAcentral.
GAACGCCGUAGCAAUACGGAGUGGCAGACGGGUGAGUAACGCGUGGGAACAUACCCCUCGGUUCGGAAUAACUCAGGGAAACUUGAGCUAAUACCGGAUACGUCCAAGGUUUUAAUCGACCUUGGAGAAAGAUUUAUCGCCGGGGGAUUGGCCCGCGUCUGAUUAGCUUGUUGGUGUGGUAAUGGCUCACCAAGGCGACGAUCAGUAGCUGGUCUGAGAGGAUGAUCAGCCACAUUGGGACUGAGACACGGCCCAAACUCCUACGGGAGGCAGCAGUGGGGAAUAUUGGACAAUGGGCGAAAGCCUGAUCCAGCCAUGCCGCGUGAGUGAUGAAGGCCUUAGGGUUGUAAAGCUCUUUCGCUCGGGACGAUAAUGACGGUACCGAGAUAAGAAGCCCCGGCUAACUUCGUGCCAGCAGCCGCGGUAAUACGGAGGGGGCUAGCGUUGUUCGGAAUUACUGGGCGUAAAGCGCGUG